Molecule: long non-coding RNA, 450 nt
Filed under: Elaeis guineensis (African oil palm)
Lineage: Eukaryota; Viridiplantae; Streptophyta; Magnoliopsida; Arecales; Arecaceae
Description: long non-coding RNA (EGUI_LNC064945)
Source: RNAcentral
CAGACUUCUCCCAGCCACGAUCGAUUUGACUUCGAACUUCCUUCGAACUUCAUCGAUGAUCGAGCUUCCUCAGCAACAGGACUUCUGCAGUAGCCAGACUCCAUCCAAAUUUCUACGACGGUCGACCGUCUUUCGGAUUUCACCCGGGCUCCUACGAGGAUCGGAUCCCAGACGAACUUCUACCGCAAGCAGUCUACUCCAAACUUCUACCGCAAGCAGUCUACUCCGAACUUCUACAGUAUCCGAUCUUCAUCCGAACUUCCAUGACAAUCUAUCUUCAUUCGUACCCUUACUGUAAGCGAAUUUUUUUCGAACUUCUAUUGCAGACAGACUUCAGCCGGGCUUCUACAACAAGCGGUCUCCCUCCGAACUUCUAUAAGAACUGGACUCCAUUCGAACUUCUACAACGGAUGAGUUUUAGGAGAACUUCUACAACGGACGGGCUCCAGC